CGAUCGAAGUCAGGCGUGCUGGGGCGAAAUCAGCUCGAUCACUCGGGGAUCACGGGCCGUAGCGAGCCUCAAAACCGCUACGACUCGUGAUUUCUUAGUGGCCUGGUGCACUUUCGUGUCGGCUGGUUAACAUCAAUUUCGAUCGUCAUAAAAAGGCUGGAGGGAUGUGGCUCCUUCGGGAGUGUUAUAACCUUUAGCGGAAUGUGGUGGUCGGGAUUGAGGCUUGCAACGAAUACCUUCAGGGCUGUUCCACCUGGACUCUCUU
This 265-nucleotide ribosomal RNA is filed under the name Entrophospora claroidea. Its description in RNAcentral is "partial 28S ribosomal RNA". Lineage: Eukaryota; Fungi; Glomeromycota; Glomeromycetes; Entrophosporales; Entrophosporaceae. The record is from RNAcentral.